UGCUCUCUUCUCUCUAUCUUAAUUCACCCCCAAUGUUCCUCUUUCUUUGUUUCCCAAAGCAUAACUAAUGAGAGGCUAAGAUGUUUCAUACCGAAGGGUCAGGGACACCAGAUAGUUAAUAUCAGCAUAUCACAGAAUGCACCGACUUGAUGUGGCUGUUUUGUGAGCAAUCCUUGCCUUGUGGCCCCCUGACCAUCCCUCUACAGGGAGUAACUCCUGACUGCCUUCCUUCCAAGGUCCAAUCCACUCCUGCCAGUUGACCUUUGUGUCCCAAGCUCCGUCAAUUUUCUUCUUCGCAUCACAAGCCCCCUCCAAACAAACAAGACAAAAACUCCAAUCACUACAGAGCAGAGCGCUCUGCCUUUCUCCUUCCCACUGUGCCCUGGGGCCUAUAUUUUCACACACACAAAGAGAUCCUCUGAAGUAUGUUUCUAAACAAAAAGGCCACCUACCCCUACGAAGAACUUGGCCUCUGCCUGAGAGUGCUGCAGCCACUGCAGUCAAAUUUUGUUUUAAAUAACAGCAUCUUUUCUUCUUGUUACUCAAUUCUAACUUAGGCUUCUGGGCUGGGGCCCCGGGGGUCACUUGUCUAUUCCAAACUUUCCUAGGAGUCAUUGAGGCUGGGCACUGUUUUUCACAAUGACUUCUGCUCUCAUUUGGUGCUUAGCACACUGCUGGGCACAGGUGCUGCUGCAGAUGGCUCUCAUGCUCUGUGCCACAUCCUGGGCCCUCCUGACAUCAGCACUGCAGUGAGCAGUGCCAGGCCCAUCACCAGGGUCUCACUUCUGGCAGGCAGCCUGCAACCUCUGCUUUUUUGAUUCGGAGCUUUCUUUGAGCUGUGGGAGUCUAAUCAGCCAUGCAGAGGCACAGUCUGGAAGAGCAGAAGGGUUAACACACUCAAGGAUGAACCCUCUACCAGCAGGGGAUGCUGUGGGGAUCCACGCCCAAUCUCUAGUCCUUCAGAGGGGCAGUUCUGAGCUCCAUGCUCCCCUGCUCUCCAGAGACUGCUCGAAGAAUUUCACAACACUGCGUUGGCCCUGCAGAUUGGGCCCCCAUUUCCCACAGGGCUGCACCCUGUCACUGGCUUCCUCCUGCUCCGUUGCUCCUGUUCCCUGAGGUCACCUCUCAAAUCAACUACUUGCACCCAAGUCAUUGUUCAGGGUCUGCUUUAAGAGACACCCUAACUAGGACAGGAAUUCAGCGGCUGCGGGUUUAGUAUCUUCAGUGACAAGUCGUGGGACCAGGCUGGGGCCUGCCGGCUGCCUGUUGGUGCAGAGCCGCUCUUCAGAGCUUUGCUGACAAUCCUCUGCCUUCCUUACCCCCAUUUUUGUGGGGGCAAGUGGCCAGUGGGAUGGAUCUGCUCUUUCUCAUCUGGGAUGUGAUGUUAGAUGUCUCAACUCCAGAAAGCUCUACUCACCUGGGGAAAGUCUUUUGCCAGCCUGAAAAGCCAGAAAGUCCUCCCCGUGUGACAAGGAGCAAAUGACUUCAGUGUCAUAUAACUGCCCCAAACUCCAGAAGAACCAGGGUCUGAGGUGUCUCAUCUUUUCAGACUGAGGUGUUAAGAGCUGCAUUACUCAUUGCUAUUGCCUGGUGCUUGCCUGGUUAGGAGCUGCAGAGGAAAGUCAAUGUUUUGACAAGUUGACGAAGGCCUAGAGCCAGAAUGGCUGUAAAACUCUGCCAAUGGGUGCCCUAAGAAUUCCAGAACACUGCAUUUGACACCUAAUUUCCUCCAGAAUGAGCUGUCUGUUGGAGCCGGGGGCCUGCUGGAGUCAUAAAUCCUACCAGGAAAGUGGCUCUGCAUCUGUCCAUCUGAUGCCUUUAAAACAGUGAAGCUCCUCUUUGUCCAGUCUCUGGAGAUUCCCAUGGCAAUCCCACUCCCUGCAGAAGCUGUCACAUCUGGGAACCUUCCUCUACCUUCCCUGAAUUUCAUCUCUCACACCCUAGAGCAACCAUGACUAGAUGGUCUCAGGAUCUCCAGAUCUGGCCACCACAUUGAAUCAGAACAUCGCAGUUCCUUAGCAAAUAUCAGCCACUGCGUACCCUGCAUUCGUCGACUCUAAUCCUUAUACCCAGUCCUGGGAGGUGUGCAUUGCUAGACUCAAUGUAUAAGUGGGGAAAAUGAGACUCAGAGGGGGUGAGUGGUUUGUCUGAGGUUACACAGCCAGUACUCAGUGAAGCUUCUAGGCAGUCCCAGGCCACUGACUCCACAUCCAGUGUUUCCUCCAUCAGAACAUAUUUUCUUGGAGGAGAUGGUGCUUGUAGUGACUGAUAGAAGAUGAAGUGGGUGACAUGGAUGUGCAGGCAUUUAAGUACUGCUCAUGGGUAGAGACACUGUAUAUCCACCGAGACACAAACUCACCUGGGCUGAAGGUUCUUGCUCGUUUGGGACUGACUAGAAUGUAUGAGGUUUCAGUGCCUUGGCCCUGCCCUGGGCUGUCCGUCAGCCUCCUACCCCACAUGGCUUCCCAUGAGCAGCUGGGCACAGGUGCUGCUGCAGAUGGCUCUCAUGCUCUGUGCCACAUCCUGGGCCCUAGUGUCCUGGACACUAGACAAUAGUGUUUUGGUUGUUUUUUGUUUUGUUGUUGUUGUUGUUAUUGUUUUAGAGACAGGGUUGCCCAGGCUAGAGUGCAGUGAUGCAAUAAUAGUUCCCUACAGCCUCAACCUCCCGGGUUGAGAGGCAAGUGAUCCUCUUGUCUCACCCUCUCAAGUAGCUGGGACUACAGCUACAUGCUACCAUGCCCAGCCAUUUUCAAAAAUUUUGGAGAGAUGGGGUCUUGCUAUGUUGCCCAGGCUGGCCUCCAACUUUUGGGCUCAAGUGAUCCUCCUCCCUCAGCCUCCCAAAGUGCUGGGAUGACAGGCAUGAGUCACCGUGCUGGGUGAGUAUUCUGGUUUCUUUCAGCCUCCAGGGUUAGCCCUGGGAGAGACACAUAUUUGGGGUCUGGUGGCAUAUAGCUGAAAGAUUUCACCAGAAACAAGGGCCCCUGAGCUGAGGACCAGAAUUUGGUCCAAUCAUGGUGACUCCAAUGGAAAGGGGCUCCCUUUUUCCCAUCUCAGAGGCCUUGCCAGGCUGCCAGUUAGACCCGCAACAUACUUUGGAAGCUGUCACCUAGGCAACUGAAGGUGUGAAUUUCCUCUCCUGUAGCACACACCUUAGACCAGGCUUCCCUCCUCCACGAGGAAGCAGGCAUGUUUCUUAAUGUCGGAGCUUGGAGGAGGGACAAGUGUUGGGGCCAUGCAGAGCCUCUGCUCUCUGCUCCAUGACAGCCAUUCAGAAACAGAUCCUGGGUUGGAAGCUUCAUUGCACAACCCACGUCACAGCCAAUGUUUUCCUGUCAAGAGACGUUGACCAUUUGUCUGAUCACAGAGGCAUUUUUCCUACAGUCCUGAAUUAAUGCAAUCCAACUCCUUAUCAGCACCUGCCAGUCUGCAUGCCCUUAGACUCCUGCCCUGCAACUUGUCCCCUUGCUCAGCACUCCAGCCACGUUGACCUCUGUGGCAUGGCACCACCCGCCAAGCCAGUUGGUUCCCAGGUCCACACACAGGGGGCUCCUUCUCUCACUGCGCUCUCUCCUUGAGGCCCCUUCUAAAUCUCCUCCCUGUCCAUUGCUCCCUGUCUAACAUCUCCUCCUGCUUCUGGCUCUCUAUCCCAUGACCAUGCCAUUUCCUUCCAGCAUGACCAUUGUCUGAAAUUGUCUUAUCUGUGAGUGUACUUGUCCAUUGUUUGCUUUGCCUUAUUAAAAUGCAAAUGGCUACAUUCAGGGGUGUAUCUGCAUCCCCAAGCACAGUGUCCCGGCCCAUAGAACAUUUGUUACAUGAAUGAAUUCCUAACAGGAAAUAAGACUGUAGCUUCCAGAAACUCCAUCUGAAAUUCACAGUAAGUUGAUAAUGACUUUAAAUGAUCACUUACCUAAUAUGGUACAGCUGGUCUUCCCUUCGUCACUGUUUCCCUGCUUUCCCUAAGAGCUCUCUCUCUUGCUUUCUUCUUGUCCUCCCUCUCUUUCCUUUCUCCUUGGCUCCUCCCACUCUCCUCCCUCCUUCCCUUUCUACCUGCCUCCUGGGAAGCAACUAAUCUGGUAGGCCGACAGGGGAAACUAUCCCACCUGGUUUGCCCACACUCACCAUCGUAAUGAUGAAGAAGUCUUUAGAGGGGACUAGAGGAGAUUGCGUCCACCCAAGGAGUCCUGAGACAGGCCUGGAGCACAGGACAGCCCCUGGGAUUCUCCAAGACAGCCCAUCACUUCUGGGAUUCAGAAUCACUGUAGCUUGCAGGGUGCUUGUCAAGGGGAUGCUUCAGUAGAAAGUGGAAAUGCUGUCUCCCGAAUUUGCUGAACGAUGAUGUUCUGAGGAGACCUGCACUUGAGAACAAAAGUGACUACUCUUUUGUCCUAAUCUUAAAUCCCAUCACCUUGGCUGCAACUGCUGAGUGCUGGUAAUGAGUGUUGAGAGGCAAUCCGAGGAUGGUGAUUAGGUAUUAAGCCUGGGCAGGUAUUAACCGAGAGGUGUGUGGACCUUUCGCUCAGCACCACAAGAGCAGAUCUCUGCCAGCAAGCUUAUCUGGCCAUCAGCCAGGGACAGAGCUGCACUGUGGCAAAGUGAAAUGUGAUUUUAAUGAUUCUGAGCACAUGGUUUCUGCCUCCAGCAUGCUAGAUUUGUAGACUGGCAUUUUUUUUCCCUUGGGUAGAUUCCAGAUGUUGUAUAACUUGUGCCUUUCUAAGUUACAGCAUGGUAGAUGGGGACUUGUCUUUGUUAUGAGCAUGUACAAUGUGGGUCGCAGUUAAGCACUGUCAAAUAGCCUCCUAAAAGAUGAGUUUGUGUGGAAUAAAGCACUGAAAAAG
RNAcentral lists this long non-coding RNA (4835 nucleotides) under Homo sapiens (human). RNAcentral's name for it is "HSALNT0397179". Lineage: Eukaryota; Metazoa; Chordata; Mammalia; Primates; Hominidae. The record is from RNAcentral.